RNAcentral lists this ribosomal RNA (466 nucleotides) under Pinctada capensis. RNAcentral describes it as "partial 16S ribosomal RNA". It matches the Rfam family "Bacterial large subunit ribosomal RNA", at positions 1830 to 2597 of the family's 2925-position model. The record is from RNAcentral. Lineage: Eukaryota; Metazoa; Mollusca; Bivalvia; Pterioida; Pteriidae.
UGCUGCAUGAAUUUGAAUGUGCGGUAAGCACUGCCCGGUGCUUCGGUAAACGGCGGCGUAAAGUUUUAAAGUAGCGAAAUUCCUAGCCCUUUAAUUGGGGGCGUGCAUGAAGUGUUAACGAGAGAAUAAUUGUCUCUUUUAUGUAGUCUGAAAUUGAGCUUUAGAUGAAAUCGUCUAAAUGGUUUCAAAAGACGAUAAGACCCCGUGCAGCUUUAUUUAAGGCGGGAUUGAUUUCGUUGAAGGAUUAACUGGGGCAGUUGGAGAAUAAAAAACUUUCUCUUUUAGAAAAAGAGUGUUAGCUGAAGAUCUAGUAAGAUUAGUCAAUAGAAAAGCUACGCCGGGGAUAACAGGGUGAAUUUGAAGCGGAGUACAUAUCAGCUUCAGAGUUUACCACCUCGAUGUUGAAUCAAGGGUAAGUUUGGGUGUAGAAGUUCAAUUUUAGGGUCUGUUCGACCUUUAGAGCCUU